This 2244-nucleotide ribosomal RNA is filed under the name Triticum aestivum (bread wheat). Its description in RNAcentral is "partial small subunit ribosomal RNA". Lineage: Eukaryota; Viridiplantae; Streptophyta; Magnoliopsida; Poales; Poaceae. The record is from RNAcentral.
AUGGCGUUCAAAAUCAUCCUAAGUAUCGUACACAAGGAUGGCGAAAUACUCAACCCUAUAGUUAUUCAAUUCGUCGUCGCCCUCACUACAGCGCUCAUGGUGACCCGAUUUGUGCUGGAUGCUUUGCGGCAUCGGUCAACAGGCAAGGCCAUGAGAAUGACUCUGAUCGUUAUGGACGCAGUAACCCAAGCAUUGACCAUAUACAGUCUUGGGAUCAUGCAACGCCCCUCCGAUAAGGACUACUACUACAAGGUGUGGGCUGUGCUGUUGGUCACCCUCCGUUACAGCGUCAAGAUAGGCCGCCCGGCCGGCAUCGCCCUGAAGCAAACCCCGUUGGUAGACCUCAUGUCCUCCUUCUGGUCUGCCAACAUCCUUCGCUCCAAGGCACCCAGGAUUCUCAAGGUAACUGGUUGGCUGCUUUGGUCAGUCAACUCUUUACGCAUCAUCUAUGGUUUUAUCUCCUCUGAAUUUGCCAACGAUAGCCACAGAGAGGAUUUGAGACUAUUAACAGAGUACAUGCGUCAUGAGCACGAAGCUGGUGGUGGGGGUGAUGGUGACCCUGUCACAAUGAAGGGGUACCGGUACUUGGUGCGGGGCGAAGCCAAGAAACGGAAGAUGAAGAAGAACGAAACCGGCGGACAAGCAAGAGAUACUGGUAUGGUGGAGGAAACUGGGAAUAUCAGGAGGCUCUUGCUGGCGUUGAGAGAGGAGCACAAGGAGAUCCUGACGCUUGAGAAGAUCUGGGAGGAGCCGGCCGAUCCGGCUGACGCCCUUGACGAGGAGCUCAAGGACCUUUGCCUCUCCUUUGCACUCUACAAGCUUCUUCGCAGGCGCUUCUUCAACUUCGGCAUCCAUGAGGCCAAGCUGAAAAGGACAAGACGGCUGGUUCUUGAUGGGAUCCUCGGUGAGCCCUGCAACUCCGAAAGGGCGUUCCGUGUCAGCGAGGCCGAGUUGUCUUUCCUCAAUGACUUCUUCAACAGCAGGCAUGCCAUAGUAUUUGCGAAAGGCUUCCCAUUCAUCCGGCUCCUGCUAUCCACCAUUCUGAUAGGAGGGAUUGGAGGCAUGGCGGUUGCUAUCUAUAGCUUUUCCAAGGUUGGCACAAGAGACGAGCUCGGCAAUGUUCAUGGUGGAGUAACUUUUACAUGGUUUCUCCUGUCGUUUCUUUUUGUAAAAGAGACAUGGGAGAUCACAACUUACGUGUUCUCAGACUGGACCAAGAUAAUUUUGUUGUGCCAGUACGUGCAGAAGCCAUGGUGGCUGCGAAGCCCGAUGACCAAGGAUCUUGUGCGGAAGCUCUGUAGGCUCUCUGUGCCCUGGUUGCCAAGAUGGCAUGGAAAGGAAGUGAAGCAUACUGUGAUCAACUGUCUCAGAGACUGCUUAGCCGAGGAUCCCCCGCGGUUGGACAACUACCUUGAGCGAGCAUUUGGCAAAGUCGGGGUAACCGACGGUUUUCGCGCAAAUUUCACCGAAGUGGUAAAUGGCGUGAAGGAUUCUGUGCACAUUCUGCUGAUUUGGCACAUUGCUACAUGCUACUGCGAGAUUGAUCUCGCUGAAAACAGAAAGGUCUCAGCCAGUAUGUAUUGGAGUGGGCAAGACUUUGGCCGGCGCAAACCUUCGGAAGGUGAUUCAGAUCUUCUGUGGUCUCAGUACAUGAUUGCUAGGACAUUGUCGCAGUACUGUGCGUAUGUGCUCACACUGGUUCCUCCUCUGGUGCCUGGGAACAGCCUAAUGGCCAGGUCGGUGCUGAUAAAGGUGCGUGAAGAAAAAAGUCGCCUUUUCAACGGAAAAUUUAACUCAUGUGCUCCUUGUUAUCAGUCCACCCAAAUGCUUGGACGGCUCAAGAAAUAUGCAUCAGAGGAGAUAGAAUUGUAUAAGAAAAAAGUGGACGGGGGAAAACAGGACGAGGAAAACCAGGAUGGGAAAAAAGAGGAAAAUCUAGACGACACCAUAUUGAAGAAGGGGGCAGAUCUUGGCAAGAAGAUGGCAGAAGCGUUCAGCGGUGACAAGCCGGAAGAUCUGUGGAGGUUCUUGUCAGAGUUCUGGGCAGGAUUUGUUAUCCACCUGGCUGCAUCUACAAGGGCUUCUCAGCACAAGAUAUUUCUGAGCUCUGGCGGGGAGUUCAUAACACAUCUCUGGGCGUUGCUAACCCAUGCCGGCAUCCUAGGGGACGCCCAGCACGGCGACCAAGAUUUCGAUACAGCACUAACGCAAGAAGACGUUUACGAUCAGACUGUGCAGUCUUAG